This 775-nucleotide ribosomal RNA is filed under the name uncultured Neocallimastigales. RNAcentral's name for it is "partial large subunit ribosomal RNA". It matches the Rfam family "Eukaryotic large subunit ribosomal RNA", at positions 24 to 616 of the family's 3401-position model. Lineage: Eukaryota; Fungi; Neocallimastigomycota; Neocallimastigomycetes; Neocallimastigales. The record is from RNAcentral.
GUAGUCUCGCACAGAUGCAUAUCAAUAAGCGGAGGAAAAGAAACUAACAAGGAUUCCCUUAGUAACGGCGAGUGAGGCGGGAAGAGCUCAAAUUUGAAAUCUUCAAGGUUUUACCUUGACGAAUUGUAGUUUAAAGAAGUGUUUUCUGUUGAAGUUUUGGUAAAAGUUCUUUGGAAUAGGACAUCAUAGAGGGUGAGAAUCCCGUAUUUGACCAUUUACUUUCAGCUGUGUGAUACACUUUCAAAGAGUCGGAUUGUUUGGGAAUGCAGUCCAAAAUGGGUGGUAAAUUUCAUCUAAAGCUAAAUAUUGGCGAGAGACCGAUAGCGAACAAGUACCGUGAGGGAAAGAUGAAAAGAACUUUGAAAAGAGAGUUAAACAGUACGUGAAAUUGUCAAAAGGGAAGCGUUUGACACCAGUGUUGUUUUCUCGAAAAUCAAUUAAAAAGAGUUUGAUUUUGUUGUGUAUUGACCUUAACAGCUUGCAUUUCAAUUUUCUUGCUUUUUUUAAUGCACUUUUCGUUUAACAAGUCAACAUCAGUUUCUUUUGUUGUAAAAAGGUCAUUGGAAGGUGGCUUUCUUUUCGGAGAAAGUGUUUAUAGCCUUUGACUCCUGCAAUCGGAGAGACUGAGGUCUGCAGCGUAGAUCCUUCGGGGUUAGAUACAUUUGUGCUAAGUUAUAGCUUUUUAUAGACAACUUGUUGACUAUGAUUAGUCUUGUAGCUUACUCGCUUAUGCUAUUUUACCUACGCUUAGGAUGUUGAGCGCAUGUCUCUCUCU